CAAAGUGCUGUGCAGCACUGGAUUAAAAUCAAACAAAUUUAAUGUUUUAGGGAAAAAUUUGAAAAUAGCAAAAACAGUGGUUUUGAAAUAAUGAAAACAUGAGAGGAUUAAAAGCAUAAAUAACCCAUAAGUGCUUAAAACCCAUUUCAAUCUCAAAUUUAAAGCUAUUCUGCAGCAGCUUCAAAAAUUGUUUCAUCUUCUUCCCAACUCCUCACGCCAAAACCCCCUCCCUUUUAACUUUGAUUUGGACAAAUGAAGCAAACGAUACCGAUGGCGCGCCUCUGCUGGUAAGAAUCUCCUCCCUUUCUUUUACUUUUCGUUUUCUUUCUCAAAAAAACGAAGUAAAAUACAAAAGAAAAAGAUGAGACAAAAAAAAAAAGAAACAGUAAAAAGAACUUGGAAAGAACAAAUCACCUUCAAAAAUUUGUUUUUUUUCUGAUUCUUUUCUUUCGUAUUUCAGUAUUUUUCAAUAUAUGUCUGUGUAACCCUUUUACAGAUUUGAUUUGGCUUUAUAUAGCCGAAACAACGGAGAAAGAAACUAUCGAAAAAAAACUCUCCCCCCCUUUGUCGUCCUCUCUGCCAUUAUUUUUAUUCGUGGUUCAUGGCUUGUUGCCGGUGUGGGCGUUGGAGAACGUGGGCAGUUGCUAUGCGAUCAUGCGUGAAGACGGUUGCUGCAACGUGGGGGCGAGGGUGAUGCCGAUCUGCUGCUUAUUGCCAAAUGUUUCUGCUGUUCAUUUUUUUUAUUUUAGGCUAGUGGGUCAGGUAUUUGGGUUAAUGACUUGGGCUUGUAAUGGGUUUGGGCUUUAGGCUUAGUUGGGCCCAAGUCAAAAAUUGGGUAUUACAAUUUAUUACACUUGUACUUUACUAUCGCCAUACAUUUGUCAACUUAUUAAUUUGUUCAUUGAUCUAAUAAUAUAAUAUCAAUUAAAUAAUAACG
RNAcentral lists this long non-coding RNA (937 nucleotides) under Gossypium barbadense (sea-island cotton). Its description in RNAcentral is "long non-coding RNA (GBAR_LNC013909)". Lineage: Eukaryota; Viridiplantae; Streptophyta; Magnoliopsida; Malvales; Malvaceae. The record is from RNAcentral.